GUCCUAGCUGUAAACGAUGAGCACUUAUCUGGGGACCCUCCCAUAGGUUCCCGGAUGUAGCGAAAGUGUUAAGUGCUCCGCCUGGGGAGUAUGGUCGCAAGGCUGAAACUCAAAGAAAUUGACGGGGGCUCACACAAGCGGUGGAGGAUGUGGCUUAAUUCGAGGCUACGCGAAGAACCUUAUCCAGGUCUUGACAUGUACGGAUUAACCCGGUGAAAGCCGGGCCACGCCUUCGGUGGAACGUGCACAGGUGCUGCAUGGUUGUCGU
This 268-nucleotide ribosomal RNA is filed under the name uncultured bacterium. RNAcentral describes it as "partial 16S ribosomal RNA". It matches the Rfam family "Bacterial small subunit ribosomal RNA", at positions 793 to 1055 of the family's 1533-position model. The record is from RNAcentral.